RNAcentral lists this transfer RNA (65 nucleotides) under Dipodomys ordii (Ord's kangaroo rat). It matches the Rfam family "tRNA". Rfam says of the family: Transfer RNA (tRNA) molecules are approximately 80 nucleotides in length. Their secondary structure includes four short double-helical elements and three loops (D, anti-codon, and T loops). Further hydrogen bonds mediate the characteristic L-shaped molecular structure. tRNAs have two regions of fundamental functional importance: the anti-codon, which is responsible for specific mRNA codon recognition, and the 3' end, to which the tRNAs corresponding amino acid is attached (by aminoacyl-tRNA synthetases). tRNAs cope with the degeneracy of the genetic code in two manners: having more than one tRNA (with a specific anti-codon) for a particular amino acid; and 'wobble' base-pairing, i.e. permitting non-standard base-pairing at the 3rd anti-codon position. The record is from Rfam by way of RNAcentral. Lineage: Eukaryota; Metazoa; Chordata; Mammalia; Rodentia; Heteromyidae.
GGUGGCUCAGUGGUAGAGUGCUUGCCUUACAUGCAUGAAGCCCUAGGUUCAAUUCCUCAGCACCA